UACGGAAGGCAGCAGUGGGGAAUAUUGCACAAUGGGCGCAAGCCUGAUGCAGCCAUGCCGCGUGUAUGAAGAAGGCCUUCGGGUUGUAAAGUACUUUCAGCGGGGAGGAAGGCGGUGAAGUUAAUAGCUUCACCGAUUGACGUUACCCGCAGAAGAAGCACCGGCUAACUCCGUGCCAGCAGCCGCGGUAAUACGGAGGGUGCAAGCGUUAAAUCGGAAUUACUGGGCGUAAAGCGCACGCAGGCGGUCUGUCAAGUCGGAUGUGAAAUCCCCGGGCUUAACCUGGGAACUGCAUUCGAAACUGGCAGGCUAGAGUCUUGUAGAGGGGGUAGAAAUUCCAGGUGUAGCGGUGAAAUGCGUAGAGAUCUGGAGGAAUAACCGGUGGCGAAGGCGGCCCCUGGGACAAAGACUGACGCUCAGGGUGCGAAAGCGUGGGGAGCAAAACAGGGAUUAGAUACC
RNAcentral lists this ribosomal RNA (459 nucleotides) under uncultured bacterium. Its description in RNAcentral is "bacterial SSU rRNA". It matches the Rfam family "Bacterial small subunit ribosomal RNA", at positions 340 to 786 of the family's 1533-position model. The record is from RNAcentral.